AUGCCGCGUGUGUGAAGAAGGCCUUCGGAUUGUAAAGCACUUUAAGUUGGGAGGAAGGGCAUUAACCUAAUACGUUAGUGUUUUGACGUUACCGACAGAAUAAGCACCGGCUAACUCUGUGCCAGCAGCCGCGGUA
Molecule: ribosomal RNA, 136 nt
Filed under: uncultured Pseudomonas sp.
Lineage: Bacteria; Pseudomonadati; Pseudomonadota; Gammaproteobacteria; Pseudomonadales; Pseudomonadaceae
Description: partial 16S ribosomal RNA
Rfam family: Bacterial small subunit ribosomal RNA
Source: RNAcentral